Molecule: ribosomal RNA, 268 nt
Filed under: uncultured bacterium
Lineage: Bacteria
Description: partial large subunit ribosomal RNA
Rfam family: Bacterial small subunit ribosomal RNA
Source: RNAcentral
GAGCACGUAGGUGGGUUUGUAAGCGAAGAAUGAAAUCCCAUGGCUCACCCAUGGAACUGUUCCUCGAACUGCCUUGCUUGAGGGCGGUAGGGGGAAGUGGAAUUCCUGGUGUAGCGGUGAAAUGCGUAGAUAUCAGGAGGAACACCGGUGGCGGAAGCGACUUCCUGGACCGUCCCUGACACUGAGGUGCGAAAGCUAGGGGAGCAAACAGGAUUAGAUACCCUGGUAGUCCUAGCUGUAAACGAUGGGCACUAAGUAGAGGGGUUUU